This 373-nucleotide ribosomal RNA is filed under the name uncultured bacterium. Its description in RNAcentral is "bacterial SSU rRNA". It matches the Rfam family "Bacterial small subunit ribosomal RNA", at positions 430 to 793 of the family's 1533-position model. The record is from RNAcentral.
GCUCUGUUAGUUAAAGAAGAACACGUAUGAGAGUAACUGUUCAUACGUUGACGGUAUUUAACCAGAAAGUCACGGCUAACUACGUGCCAGCAGCCGCGGUAAUACGUAGGUGGCAAGCGUUAUCCGGAUUUAUUGGGGCGUAAAGAGAGUGCAGGCGGUUUUCUAAGUCUGAUGUGAAAGCCUUCGGCUUAACCGGAGAAGUGCAUCGGAAACUGGAUAACUUGAGUGCAGAAGAGGGUAGUGGAACUCCAUGUGUAGCGGUGGAAUGCGUAGAUAUAUGGAAGAACACCAGUGGCGAAGGCGGCUACCUGGUCUGCAACUGACGCUGAGACUCGAAAGCAUGGGUAGCGAACAGGAUUAGAUACCCUGGUAG